This is a long non-coding RNA of Peromyscus eremicus (cactus mouse), 589 nucleotides long. RefSeq lists it as uncharacterized. Lineage: Eukaryota; Metazoa; Chordata; Mammalia; Rodentia; Cricetidae. The record is from RefSeq and is a predicted model, not a curated record. The transcript is spliced from 3 exons.
CCCAGGCUGGGUAUAAAUAGCAGGAAUGUCUUUUCUCACAUUCUCAAUGCUGGAUGCCCAUAAUCAGGUGACUACAAAUUCAGUUUGGAUUAAGGGCUGGAUUCCUACCCUCUAGGCAGUCAGCUUCUGCUUUGUCCUCACACAAUCUCUUCUCAGUGCAGACCCAUUGAAAGGGCUCCAUCUCAUAAUACAGCCACCCUGGAAGUUAGGGUUUCAGCCUAUGAAUUUUGGGGAGCAAAAGCAUUUAACUCAUUAACAAUGGAGACUUGAAAGAGUUCACCAGUAACUUCCACCUCUUGUGGGCCAAAGCACCCUUUAUGCUGAGUACACUCUGAAUAUACCAGGCAGCCAAGGAGCACCCUUAAGCACAGAUAUGAGAAGCCAGGCAGCUUCAGCAGAUAAAGAAGCUGAACCACCGGGAGAUUAAGUAGCUUUUCUACAGAGCUAACCGAGAGCAGGAUGAAGACAGGCAGGCUGGCUCCCUGGACCAAUCUUAAGCGUGGCUAGCUUUCCUCCUCCUCUACAGACAAAUAUGUGUCCUGAGGCCAGUCAGAAACCUGUCCAACGAUAAUAAAUGGUGGUCUGCUUU